GUUGCAGCGGCCAUGCCAGCAGAGGUGCUAAAGCAGUUCGGUGUGAUGGACAUCAGCUUCAAGAAGAGAAACUGUGCGGCCAUGCCAAUGCUGGCCAUAACUUGUGACACGGUCAAAGCCGGAUUGAUGAAGAGACCGACUGGCGAUGUCGGCGCGCCUGACCCGUGCAAUCCGUGGGGUGAGAGGUGUUGGUGAUAAUUUAGUCUUCACGAUGCCGAACUCUUGUUUGGCUUGCCGAGCUGAUGAUCCGAUAAGGCUGGGCUCGGCUCAAUGAAGCGACGAUCCGUCAGGCGCAGGUCGGCAGCUCGGGAUGGUUUGACACCGACGCGAUGGUGAAGUUCAUAUUGGAAAAGACUUUAAAAUUAGUGGGAUGUGUUUGGGAACAAAACACAAUACCCCAUAUAAAACUUCCUUCAAAAAGGAUUUCCGAAAUCCCGUCCAUAAAAAACAUGAACUCGAGUCAGAUUCGUUAAGCGAUACUGACGUGCAAAUUGUUCGUCUGACUUGGGUAUAGGGGCGAAAGACUAAUCGAACCAUCUAGUAGCUGGUUCCCUCCGAAGUUUCCCUCAGGAUACCUAGAGCCCAUUACGAGUUCUAUAAGGUAAAGCCAAUGAUUAGCCAUUUUUGGUAAGCAGAACUGGCGAUGAGGGAUGAACCAGAAGCCGGGUAAUGGUGCCCAACUGCGCGCUAACCUAGAACCGACAAAGGGUGUUGGUCGAUUAAGACAGCAGGACGGUGAUCAUGGAAGUCGAAAUCCGCUAAGGAGUGUGUAACAACUCACCUGCUGAAUCAACUAGCCCCGAAAAUGGAUGGUGCUGAAGCGCGCGACCCACAUCCGACCAUCUGGGCGAGCGCCAUGCCCCGAUGAGUAGGAGGGUGCGGCGGCCGCUGCAAAACUCGGGGUGUGAGCCCGGGCGGAGCGGCCGUCGGUGCAGAUCUUGGUGGUUGUAGAAAAUAUUCAAAUGAGAACUUUGAAGUCCGAAGAGGAGAAAGGUUCCAUGUGAACGGCACUUGCACAUGGGUAAGCCGAUCCUAAGGGACGGGGUAACCCCGGCAGACAUCGCGAUUACACGCAUCCCCCGAAAGGGAAUCGAGUUAAGAUUUCCCGAGCCGGGAUGUGGCGGUUGACGGCGACGUUAGGAAGUACGGAGACGACGGCGGGGGCCUCGGGAAGAGUUAUCUUUUCUGCUUCACGGCCUGCCAACCCUGGAAACGGUUCAGCCGGAGGUAGAAUCCAGUGGCCAGAAGAGCACCGCACGUUGCGCGGUGUCCCGUGCGUCCCCGGCAGCCCAUGAAAAUCCGGAGGACCGAGUACCGUUCACGCUCGGCCGUACUCAUAACCGCAUCAGGGCUCCAAGGUGAACAGCCUCUGGCCAAUGGAACAAUGUAGGCAAGGGAAGUCGGCAAAAUGGAUCUGUAACUUCGGGAAAAGGAUUGGCUCUGACGACUGGGCUCGGGGGUCCCGGCCCCGAACCCAACGGCUGUCGGCAGAUUGGUCAAGCUGCUCACGUGGCGAGAGCGGGUUGCUGCGUGCCGGCCGGGGGAUGGAACGAGAAUCGCCCCUUCGGGGUCUUUCCCCGAGCAUGAAACAGUCGACUCAGAACUGACGGACAAGGGGAAUCCGACUGUUUAAUUAAAGCAAAGCAUUGCGAUGGUCCUCGCGGAUGCUGACGCAAUGUGAUUUCUGCCCAGUGCUCUGAAUGUCAAAGUUAAGAAUUUCAACCAAGCGCGGGUAAACGGAGGGAGUAACUAUGACUUUCUUAAGGUAGCCAAAUGCCUGUUCAUCUAAUUAGUGACGUGCAUGAAUGGAUUAACGAGAUUCCCACUGUCCCUGUCUACUAUCCAGCGAAACCACAUCCAAGGGAACGGGCUUGGCGGAAUCAGCGGGGAAAGAAGACCCUGUUGAGCUUGACUCUAGUCCGACUUUGUGAAAUGACUUGAGAGGUGUAGGAUAAGUGGGAGGCCUCACGUGUGCAUGUGAAAUACCACUACUUUUAACUUUAUUUUACUUAUUCCGUGGGUCGGAAGCGGGGCAUGUCCCCUCCUUUUGGCUCAAAGGCCCGGUCUUACCGGGCCGAUCCAGGCGGAAGACAUUGUCAGGUGGGGAGUUUGGCUGGGGCGGCACAUCUAUUAAAAGAUAACACAGGUGCCCUAAGAUGAGCUCAACGAGGACAGAAAUCUUGUGUGGAACAAAAGGGUAAAAUAUCGUUUGAUUCUGAUUUCCGGUACGAAUACGAACCAUGAAAGCGUGGCCUAUCGAUCCUUUAGAUAUUCGGAGUUUGAAGCUAGAGGUGUCAGAAAAGUUACCAUAGGGAUAACUGGCUUGUGGCAGCCAAGCGUUCAUAGCGACCUUGCUUUUUGAGCGUUUCAUGUCGGCUCUUCCUAUCAUUGUGAAGCAGAGUUCACCAAAUGUUGGAUUGUUCACCCACCAAUAGGGAACGUGAGCUGGCUUUAGACCGUCGUGCGACAGGUUAGUUUUACCCUACUGAUGACAGUGUCGCGAUAGUAAUUCAACCUAGUACGAGAGGAACCGUUGAUUCACACAAUUGGUCAUCGCGCAUGGUUGAAAAGCUAGUAGCGCGAAGCUACCGUGUGCCAGAUUAUGACUGAACGCCUCUAGGUCAGAAUCCAAGCUAGCAUGCGAUGCCUGCGCCCGCCGCCCGCCCCGACCCACGUUUGGGGCGCUUGCGCCCCAAGGGCCGUGCCAUUGGCUAAGCCGGUCCGUCCGACGUGCCGUGACCGGCCGCCUCGAAGAUCCCUUUCCAAUGGGCGGUGGGCUGAAUCCUUUGCAGACGACUUAAAUACGCGACGGGGCAUUGUAAGUGGCAGAGUGGCCUUGCUGCCACGAUCCACUGAGAUCUAGCCCCAUGUCGCACGGAUACGUCCCUCCCCCACAAC
RNAcentral lists this ribosomal RNA (2898 nucleotides) under Aegilops tauschii. Its description in RNAcentral is "eukaryotic LSU rRNA". It matches the Rfam family "Eukaryotic large subunit ribosomal RNA". Lineage: Eukaryota; Viridiplantae; Streptophyta; Magnoliopsida; Poales; Poaceae. RNAcentral also lists the same sequence under 1 other name. The record is from RNAcentral.